Molecule: ribosomal RNA, 253 nt
Filed under: uncultured bacterium
Lineage: Bacteria
Description: partial 16S ribosomal RNA
Rfam family: Bacterial small subunit ribosomal RNA
Source: RNAcentral
GACGUAGGGUGCGAGCGUUAAUCGGAAUUACUGGGCGUAAAGCGUGCGCAGGCGGUUUUGUAAGACAGGUGUGAAAUCCCCGGGCUCAACCUGGGAACUGCACUUGUGACUGCAAGACUAGAGUGUGUCAGAGGGAGGUGGAAUUCCGCGUGUAGCAGUGAAAUGCGUAGAGAUGCGGAGGAACACCGAUGGCGAAGGCAGCCUCCUGGGAUAACACUGACGCUCAGGCACGAAAGCGUGGGGAGCAAACAGG